This is an RNA transcript of Physeter macrocephalus (sperm whale), 3725 nucleotides long. It is a transcript of the gene named exo/endonuclease G, with no coding region annotated. The record is from RefSeq and is a predicted model, not a curated record. The transcript is spliced from 12 exons. NCBI's taxonomy places the organism in Eukaryota, Metazoa, Chordata, Mammalia, Artiodactyla, Physeteridae.
CUGGGGUCUCGGGCAAGAUGGCUGCCAAAACUUUUGCCUCCCGCUUUCGAGGCUCCCGACGCUUUUUGAGUGGCUUCGUGGCUGGAGCCGUCGCGGGCGCUAUGGGAACCGGGCUAACUGUCGUGCAGUUCCUCCGGAGUCAGGACUCUGGGCCAGCGUUGGCGGUGAGGGAGCCGGACGGUUCUGCAGAAAGGACUCUCUUAGAACAAUUUGGAUUCCCUUUAACUGGAACAGAGACGAGGUGCUACACUAACCAUGCCUUGUCUUAUGAUCAGUCAAAGCGGGUGCCUAGAUGGGUUCUUGAACAUAUAUCCAAGAGCAAGAUAACGGGUUUAUUUGUACAAAUAGCACAGGAGGACACCAGCACCAUGCAGACAGCAGCCAGGGGUCACACCAGUCCUUCUGUCCUCACAUUGGCAGAUAAAGGUGAUGCAGACAGAAAACAUUGUAAAUUCAAGCCAGAUCCCAGCAUCCCUCCAACCUUCAGUGCCUUCAACGAGGACUAUGUUGGCAGUGGGUGGUCACGAGGACACAUGGCUCCAGCAGGAGAUAACAAAUUCUCAUCUAAAGCCAUGGCUGAAACCUUUUACCUUUCUAAUAUCGUGCCUCAGAAUUUUGAUAAUAAUGCUGGUUAUUGGAACAGAAUAGAAAUGUACUGUCGAGAACUGACAGAGAGGUUUGAGGACAUCUGGAUAGUAUCUGGACCGCUGACCUUACCUCAGACUGGAAGCAAUGGAAGGAAAACGGUUAGUUACCAGGUGAUCGGCGAGGACAAUGUUGCGGUGCCCUCCCACCUCUACAAGGUGAUCCUGGCACGCAGAAGCCCGAGGUCUGCUGAGCCCCUGGCACUAGGGGCCUUCGUGGUGCCCAACAAGGCCAUUGGCUUCCAGCCCCAAUUAAGUGAGUUCCAGGUGAGCCUGCAGGAGCUGGAGAAGUUGUCAGGACUGGUGUUUUUCCCUCAUCUGGAUAGGACUAGUGACAUCAAGAACAUCUGCUCGGUGGACACCUGUAAGCUCCUGGAUUUCAGGGAGUUCACUCUGUACCUGAGCACAAGAAAGAUUGAGGGAGCCCGAUCGGUACUCAGACUGGAAAAGGUCAUGGAAAAUUUGCGGAAUGCAGGCAUUGAACCUGAUGAGGACUUCAUGACUCGCUACGAGAAGAAGCUGGAAGAACUCAAAGCUCAGGAGCAGUCAGAAGUCCUGGAGAGAAAACCCUCGUAGUUCACCUCUCAGAAGCGUGAUGUCAUCUGUAAUGAAGCAGGUGUGGCCUCUUCAGAUACUGUAUUUUAGUGGCUUUGUUUUAAAAUGAUGGAAUCCUAAAUUUCAGACUAAAUUUCUCCCCAAAAGAUGUCAAAUGUUUUGGUUGGUAUUUUAUUUGACGUGGGAAACUAAGGAAACUGUUAACGCCUGCAGAUCACGGGCUGGUCUUGUGUCAAGUUGACAGGAGGGCUGUGUCUGCGGGAUGACGCUGUGUGCGUGUCCCUCUAGAUGUAUUGUAUGUGAAGGCGUUAUUAUUUUCUGCCUCCAAAUCGUACAGUGUCUUUGAUGUAUCUGCUCAGCUUUCUUGGGACCCAAGAUUGUACGUGUUCUUUCCCUGGGAUUUGAGCUGGUCUUAGAGAUGGCUCUCAGAUAACCUCUAUGCAUUGUCCUGACCACGUGUAUCAUAUAUUUGUUUCUUGUUCCUCCUCUCAUGGGCCUGCUGUUCCUCCUCUUCUGUUAUGCAGAAGCACUCAACAACUACAUUUUCUGCUCACUUAGUGUAUUCUCUGUACUAAGCUCAGUGCUUUACAUGUAUUAUCCUACAACUACCCUCUGAGGGAAAUACCACUAUCCUCAUUUUACCCAUGAGGAAAUUGAGGCUUAGAGAGCUGAAGUAUUUUGCCCAAGGUUCAUCUUCCCAAAGAAGUAAUCCACAAAGAAUGAGGCAUAUAACAUGGGGUACGUUAAAAUCUUCCCUGACACAGAGGCUCAAAGACAUACUUCCGUGGGUGUCUGUGAUCCUGGGGCUUGCUUGGUAAGAGGAGUCUGGUUUCUUGUCUGCAGUCGAGCCAUAGGGACUUUAAUGUCCUCUGACUUGAACUCUCCUUAGUUCUUUGGGAGGAAACAAUCACAGGUAUUUGAACGUUAGAGGAUGGUGCUUCAUGGGGUUUAUCUGAGUCCCUGCUUGCCUUCAGAAAUGCAAUUCUUCUAGUGACUGGCUGGUGCCAAAUUGUUGUGUUCCUUGCUUUCCAGAUGGGCUUUUUGUGAAUCUCUGCCCGCAGAUUCACCAGCUCAUGGCUUGCUCGCCUUUGUGCCUGCCUGUCUACCUGGUUGGCCCAAAGACCCAAAGACAGUUACCUCUGGGGGAAACAGUGGCUGUUUUUCUGAGCCAGAUCUCUAGAUUUGGGUUUACGUGGAAUCCUUUCAUGGGCUGUCAUAAGUGCAGGCAGUAAAAUAUCUUCAAAUAGAGCGUAGGAACUUGUCUGACUGUGUCCUGUCAGUACUGUCUUUCCAAGUGGUGUUACCAGAACAGUUUUUGUGGUGUUUUUGUGUUUGUCUCUAACAGAAAUGCCAAGGUGUUAAGAUAAAGGUAAGAUGAGAAUGGUUGAUCUUGUUCUGCUUUAUUUGGGUAAACAAGAAAGAAGUUGGGGGGGGUCAGAACACUUCAGCCCAAUUAAUACCGUCCUCUUUUAUCACACUGUUCCCCAUUAGCUUGUGUCAGGCUUUUUCUUCUCAGGGAGAAAGAGCCAAAAUGUCACUGUGACCAAAAAAAUCUGUUACUUUUUCUCCUUCCUGAAGAGGUGACAGUGGGGUCUGGGUGUGUUUCCAGGAGCCCGAGGGCGGCUCUGCGGGAGAGGUCCUACCACCAUCUCCAGAGUAACAUCUUUAUUUCGAGACUUCAGGCUCUUUGGUCUAUGGAUUGAGACUAUCUCACCUAUAUCGUAUGCAGCAAAGGGGGACCUUACACAAGUGGCAAAGGACUGAGAAUAGAGCCCAGCAGGAGAUACAGAGUCUGAUCUCAAGGGAAUGAAUGGCUUCCUACAGAGCUGGGCUCAGCCUGCAGCCCUGCUCUUGGAGUGACUGAGCUGACAUUCGUCCCUCACGGAACCUGGACCUCAGCCUCACCCCAGAGUGGCCGGGUGACAGCUAUGGCGGUGUGGUGACCGCAAGGCCCACUCUUGCUUCCCUCCAGAUGCACCUGACACCUCCCAGGCCACUACAGGCAGCUACAGAGACCCACACAAGGGGCCCCACACCCAGAAUCCAAGUUUUGGCUUCAAGAACAGUGAGGAGCUCCUGUACUGGCCCUUUCCAAGCGGUAGUGACCUGGAGCGUGUCAGAGGGGAGGCGUGGCCCUUUACUGUUUAUGGUAAAAUCCCAACCCCUGCAAAACCGCUUUGCUGAGUGUGCUGUCGUCCAGAGGCGGGGUGACUAAGCAAGGAGGCUGGAGGUGGGAGGCCCACCAGAACACGUGGAGACCAGAAAGAAGGUUGCAGGCCGAUAAUUUAGAGACGAACGGACCCAAUUACCGGGUUGCCUGAUGCUAGCUGUGACUGUUUUGAAAUAAUGCAGAAAGAAGAAAAAUGCAAGACCUUCACCACUUUGAUCCUUAUCACCUACCCUGGACUUCGAGCCUCAUCUGUAGGACCUCCCCUGAUCCCCCAGGGAAGGGGGUCACAGUUCUUGAGGUGUUAGCAUGCUGUAUUUUCCCCUUUCCCUGUCAAAGAUAAAGCUAUUUUUAUUUUU